CUGCCUGACACUGCCUGGAUGGCCUGGAACCAGGGCCUGGAAAGCCCAGAGACCUAGGAUGGAGCCAAGUCAAUGAAAUGACUCCCGAUAUUUUGCUGUACUCAUAGAUGGGUGCCUAGCCCAAUUGUCACCAGAGAGGCUUCCUCCAACAUCAGCCUCCCCAAUUCCGGGAUGACAAACCCGGAUCACCAGGCCUGAUGAGAAUGGCUUUGCCUCAGCACCACGCCUGCUUGCCUGCCUCUGCACUUCCUGCCGAGACGGUCACAGACUCACCCUCUGACAACUGCAAGCCCCACACAAACUCUUCUGGCAGGAGAGGAGGGGGCCCCAGCGGAGCCCAGAGGAGGUGUGAGCCUGCUAGGCAGGGCGAGCAAAGGUGUGCACACUCCCGUCACGACGGCAAAGCCAACGAGGUGCAACAAGGUGGCCCUGACCGUUCUCGUUCUGGAGAAAUCUGAGUCACCACCACGGAUGGAAGUCACCCUGCUAAGGUCACGGAAAGGCCCUGUGACAGGGAGAUAGGCACAUGCAAAGAGUCUGCCCAGGGCUUCCUGCUGGGGCUGCUGCCCAG
RNAcentral lists this long non-coding RNA (571 nucleotides) under Cricetulus griseus (Chinese hamster). RNAcentral's name for it is "lncRNA (ENSCGRG00015036031.1)". Lineage: Eukaryota; Metazoa; Chordata; Mammalia; Rodentia; Cricetidae. The record is from RNAcentral.